UAUGUACACCCGUCCGUGGGGUUAGAGUAGCCGUGUGGAAGGCGAGCUCUGAGCCAGCACCACCGACAUACAUAGAGCUACAAAUUCACCAGUGCAUGCUGUUCUGGGGGAUUAUGUGACUGUGUGUGUGUUUUUCAUACAGUAACUUUGGCCCGAUGCAUGAAGAUGGAAACGAGAGGCUGCUGGAAACGACACUCUUUCUACUGAAAAUUAAUUCCAAGGGGAGGAAUGGACUGAUGCUGGAUGGGUGGAUGACAGAAGAAGGAGGAUGGAGAGGGAGAAGGACUUGUGCAGCGAACCAUUGCAUCUGCAUCCAUCUUAAUCAGCAGUAGAAAAAAGGUUGUGCGCACUGUUGCACGCUCCUUGCUCACAAAAAUGCCCACACAAGUAAAUACACUGACAAAUAUUAACUGUCUGUAAUAAAGAAACAUGCUUCUGUUGGAGCAGUGUAACGUACGUGACUAUAAAUGUGUCUUUUGGAGUCUGUCUUUGUUACGGCAGGCACAGAGUUAGUUUAUAUCCACAUGUUGUCUGAAAUUAUUGUUAUUCAUGACUGAAGACGUCCUCCUGCCUCCUACUGCAUUAGCAUUAAUAUUUACAUGAUCAUUUCAGCACAUUCCUCUCUGUGGCUAAUCUCUCUACAGCUUCUUACAGAUUGCUGCAUUACACAAAGAAAUUUACAAGAUGCACUAAAACAAGCUUGAUUUAUGGAGGCCUCACCCAGACCAGCUGCCAGCUACCCAGCUGGGGUGCAACCAGACAUCACAUGACAUUUACUGCAUCCAUGCUAUGAAGGAUGAAAGCUGUUUUAGGCAGAUAGUUGUGAUGCUUUGGCUGACAGGUGCAAUGAGCUGUUUGGUUUUUUUGUUAUUUUUUUUGUCAGAAUAAUAAAUAAAAGGAUCAUGAAACAGGGGGCAGCGCGGGUGUAAUGCUACCUAUAACAUGCUAUAACUAUACUUUACUCCCUUACAUGUAUUGCAUGACAUGAUGCUGUAGAGGUAAGAUAGUAUACUAUUUCUCGGGCUAUCUAAGUAACUGGUUCAGUUUGUGGAACAUAUCAUAUCAUUGUAACCAGCAAACAGUAUGCCAACACACACUGACAACACUGAAGCAUCGUGGGCCAUACACGGACCAGUGAAACUCUCCUUUCUGCAAAUGCAAGAAAUCUGUCAGCAUGACUCUCUUAAAUGAUAAGAAAUGGAAAAGGUUUUGUUAAGUCUCUGCCCAGACUGCAGACCCUCUAUAAAAAACAUCCUCUAUUAAUGUAAAGAGUAAAAAACUCAGGAAAUGUCAUGUUAUUUAAAUGUUUAUCUGUUACUUUGCUGUAGUAUGAAUGGCCAGAGAUGACGUCUUUGUCAUAAGGAAAGCUUUAGUUCACAUUUUCCAAAGCCAUGUAGUGGGCCAGAUUGGAGUCUUUGGUGGCCACCAAUGACAGGAGGAACCCUCUCUGUGACUGAUUUCACCUAGCAACAGCUUGCAACCACUUACCAAACAU
Oreochromis niloticus (Nile tilapia) is the source of this 1495-nucleotide long non-coding RNA. RefSeq lists it as uncharacterized. The record is from RefSeq and is a predicted model, not a curated record. The transcript is spliced from 3 exons. Lineage: Eukaryota; Metazoa; Chordata; Actinopteri; Cichliformes; Cichlidae.